GCUGGCGGCGUGCUUUACACAUGCAAGUCGAGCGAUGAGAUCCCUUCGGGGAAGGAUUAGCGGCGAACGGGUGAGGAACACGUGAGGAAUCUGCCUUCAACACUGGGAUAACUCCGGGAAACCGGGGCUAAUACCGGAUACGAGACCUGCAGGCAUCUGCGGGUCUGGAAAGUUUUUCGGUUGAAGAUGACCUCGCGGCCUAUCAGCUUGUUGGUGAGGUAAUGGCUCACCAAGGCGACGACGGGUAGCCGGCCUGAGAGGGCGACCGGCCACACUGGGACUGAGACACGGCCCAGACUCCUACGGGAGGCAGCAGUGGGGAAUAUUGGGCAAUGGAGGGAACUCUGACCCAGCGACGCCGCGUGCGGGAUGAAGGCCUUCGGGUUGUAAACCGCUUUCAGCAAGGAAGAAGCGAAAGUGACGGUACUUGCAGAAGAAGCACCGGCUAACUAUGUGCCAGCAGCCGCGGUAAUACAUAGGGUGCAAGCGUUGUCCGGAAUUAUUGGGCGUAAAGAGCUCGUAGGUGGUUCGUCACGUCGGAUGUGAAAAUCUGGGGCUUAACCCCAGACCUGCAUUCGAUACGGGCGAGCUAGAGUGUGGUAGGGGAGACUGGAAUUCCUGGUGUAGCGGUGGAAUGCGCAGAUAUCAGGAGGAACACCAAUGGCGAAGGCAGGUCUCUGGGCCAUUACUGACACUGAGGAGCGAAAGCGUGGGGAGCGAACAGGAUUAGAUACCCUGGUAGUCCACGCCGUAAACGGUGGGCACUAGUUGUGGGAACCUUCCACGGUUUCUGCGACGCAGCUAACGCAUUAAGUGCCCCGCCUGGGGAGUACGAUCGCAAGAUUA
RNAcentral lists this ribosomal RNA (846 nucleotides) under uncultured bacterium. RNAcentral's name for it is "bacterial SSU rRNA". It matches the Rfam family "Bacterial small subunit ribosomal RNA", at positions 35 to 896 of the family's 1533-position model. The record is from RNAcentral.